AGUGAUUCAGUCAUCGUCUGAUUCAGUCAUCGUCUACCCUUUGGAGUCCCGAAUCUUCCUCUCGUUUCUUUGUCCUCCCUACGUGUUCACCAAAGAUGAAGCCAAGCCCCUCUUCCCCACUAGCAGCGAACCUCUCCUCUGCUUAGCCAAUCCUGUCCCCUUCUCUUUCCCCACAAGAGGUGUCCACGUCCAUGGCGCGGGAUGGCCAAUCCUGCCCCCCCGAGUUCUCCAUGUCUUACAUCAGUGCCAUCUCUAGAUGCGAUGCAGAGCAGGUGGUGGCGGGAGGGAGAUGCGAUGCAGAGCAGGUGGUGGCGGCCUGGCGGGAGGGAGAGGCCAACGAGGUCCGCCUACUCCUACUGCUUCCCUGCGGGGUCAUCCGUUGUCGCCGGCGUGUGCGUUCGCGUAUAUGUUUUUCCGAUGUUCGCGGCGUUCACGGUGACGUCGCCGGCUGCCCACAACUCCCUUUGGGGCAUGUUCUCUCCUCUCCCCUACAAGUGCCCUGUGUGUAACGGCGCGUGGCGCGGCGGGCAGCGACGACGGUGGCGCUGGUGGGCCAGCCAAUGGUGAGGAAGGACUUCACCUGUCGCGGAGAUACCGCGGCCCGUUGUUCCGGAAUUCCCCCUCGGGUCGUGAAGCCGACGGGAGCAGUACCACGACGGCUGCGAGCACUUCUGGCAUGCCAGCCAUGCCUUCUCCUCCUCCAUCUCCUCGGUCUGACGACGUCGAGCUCCUCCAGUGCAGCGUUCAUCCAGCGAGGUCACUCGGUCAUCGCCGCCCUCACCGCACGAAUUUUGGCUUCGGCCGUGGUGCCAUCGUCCUCUUGUGUGGUGAGUGUGCUCGACGGCCAGUUCAGCAGAGAGAUUCUCCAUGGUAGCGUGAUGCUCGACAAAAUUUCUUCUGUUGGAAAUUGAUGCCAUGGAAGAUGCAUACAGUUGGUGAAAUAAUAGUCCCCUUAGUUCUUGCUAUUGGUCAAUUUUCUGCUGGAUGGACAUCACACUGUGUUCACUUUUGGACUGAAUGGUAGACCUUCAUGCCCACGACUCACUACUGACAAUGUGGGAAUUUAUGCCCCUGCUGGUUGUUCUGAGGAAUUAGUAUUUGGGUAUGUGUUGGACCAAAUGUUUUAACGAUGGAUGCCAGUUCAGCUACAAUUUUACAUUUGUUAUGGACUCUCACAAGAGGGGAAUUUGCCUAGUACAGGAAAGGCAAGGUCCACGACGACAUGAUUACCCUGUUGGAUUCAAUAGCAUCAGGAGUGAAGAAUCAAGAUGUCGUAAAUACCUUGAUUACAAAUAUGUCUGCUGACACACGACUUUACAUAUCCCCAAUUGCAUCAAAUAGAAACCUCAGCGGUUGGCAUGUGCAGUUAUUGGUGGUUCAUGUGAAGCUGGCUCUAGAAGGCACAUAUAAUUUGAACUCUUAUCAACGGAAAGUGAUUGUAAUGUCUUCUUUUGAGUAGAUAUCUCUAAUUUAUUCCAUGGUGGUUACUGUAGCCUUGGCGACUAUAGAGCUUUCUUUACCUUUUACCUACUCUUCACUUCUUGGUUAUUCUUUUCUUUGUAAAGCAAAACUGUUAAUCGUGUGGUGUUGAUCUUGCAUGCAUUACUUCAUGUAGGAUCCGAUCUGAGCAAUGGAAGGGAUACUGCUGAAGUACGUGUCCUUGAACUCUUAUCAAUGGAAAGUGAUUGUACCGCUGGCUGGGACCUAGGAAUUGUGAGUUCGGAUUUAAGGGUUCCUUUAAAAUUCACUUUUCAUUUACUGAUAGGUUACUAAUAAAUUACACCAGAUGCAGCAAUAUACAUCUCCAGGGUUUAUUUAGACUUUAGAGUCUUUUAUGGUUUAUGUAAUAAUGGUCCAGUGAUAUUCCCACCAACCAACAUUUAUAAAAUGCAGCACCGUUGAUAGAUUAUUGGUUGCCACUGAAGAUUUCAGUGAUUCAUAGUCCCACUAUGUUAUCAAAUUUCUUUUACUAAAUUCAGGUAUAUGGUAAGACCAAUUAGCUACUGUAAUAUUGAGUACCUCUAAUGAAGUAAUACCUCAACUACUGUAAUAUUACGUGGCUUUGUAUAAUCGAAGAUCCCCUGUCUUAGUUUUUCCACCAUGCCUGCUAGACUAAGCCAUCAUUCUCGUCUCCAACGACUACUGAAGUCUCAGAAACUAGGCAAUGGCAGACAUUCAUCUUACCAUCCUACUUUACUGAUUUGUCAUCAAGAAUAUGUUCUGAUUUGGGCAAGUAUCUAUGCUCUGUUGUGAUCUCUUUGUCUAGGCCAAGUC
This is a non-coding RNA of Lolium perenne, 2274 nucleotides long. The record is from RefSeq and is a predicted model, not a curated record. Lineage: Eukaryota; Viridiplantae; Streptophyta; Magnoliopsida; Poales; Poaceae.